RNAcentral lists this ribosomal RNA (675 nucleotides) under uncultured bacterium. Its description in RNAcentral is "bacterial SSU rRNA". It matches the Rfam family "Bacterial small subunit ribosomal RNA", at positions 825 to 1503 of the family's 1533-position model. The record is from RNAcentral.
CGGGGACCGACCCCUUGCGUGCCGCAGCUAACGCAAUAAGUAUCCCACCUGGGGAGUACGAUCGCAAGGUUGAAACUCAAAGGAAUUGACGGGGGCCCGCACAAGCGGUGGAUUAUGUGGUUUAAUUCGAUGCAACGCGAAGAACCUUACCAGGGCUUGACAUCCUACUAACGAAGUAGAGAUACAUUAGGUACCCUUCGGGGGAAGUAGAGACAGGUGGUGCAUGGUUGUCGUCAGCUCGUGUCGUGAGAUGUUGGGUUAAGUCCCGCAACGAGCGCAACCCUUAUUGUUAGUUGCUACGCAAGAGCACUCUAGCGAGACUGCCGUUGACAAAACGGAGGAAGGUGGGGACGACGUCAAAUCAUCAUGCCCCUUAUGUCCUGGGCUACACACGUAAUACAAUGGCGGUCAACAGAGGGAUGCAAAACCGUGAGGUGGAGCGAACCCCUAAAAGCCGUCCCAGUUCAGAUCGCAGUCUGCAACCCGACUGCGUGAAGUCGGAAUCGCUAGUAAUCGCGGAUCAGCAUGCCGCGGUGAAUACGUUCCCGGGCCUUGUACACACCGCCCGUCACACCAUGAGAGUCGGGAACACCCGAAGUCCGUAGCCUAACCGCAAGGAGGGCGCGGCCGAAGGUGGGUUCGAUAAUUGGGGUGAAGUCGUAACAAGGUAACCGU